RNAcentral lists this ribosomal RNA (253 nucleotides) under uncultured bacterium. RNAcentral describes it as "partial 16S ribosomal RNA". It matches the Rfam family "Bacterial small subunit ribosomal RNA", at positions 524 to 776 of the family's 1533-position model. The record is from RNAcentral.
UACAGAGGGGGCGAGCGUUGUUCGGAAUUACUGGGCGUAAAGGGCGCGUAGGCGGCCUGCUAAGUCGAACGUGAAAUCCCUGGGCUCAACCCAGGAACUGCGUCCGAUACUGGUUGGCUUGAAUCCGGGAGAGGGAUGUGGAAUUCCAGGUGUAGCGGUGAAAUGCGUAGAGAUCGGGAGGAACAUCGGUGGCGAAGGCGGGUCUCUGGGCCGUAACUGACGCUGAGGAGCGAAAGCAUGGGGAGCGAACAGG